This 484-nucleotide ribosomal RNA is filed under the name uncultured bacterium. RNAcentral describes it as "bacterial SSU rRNA". It matches the Rfam family "Bacterial small subunit ribosomal RNA", at positions 28 to 498 of the family's 1533-position model. The record is from RNAcentral.
GAUGAACGCUAGCUACAGGCUUAACACAUGCAAGUCGAGGGGAAACGAUAGAGAAAGCUUGCUUUUUCUAGGCGUCGACCGGCGCACGGGUGAGUAACGCGUAUCCAACCUGCCCAUCACUUGGGGAUAACCUUGCGAAAGUAAGACUAAUACCCAAUGACGUCUCUAGAAGACAUCUGAAGGAGAUUAAAGAUUUAUCGGUGAUGGAUGGGGAUGCGUCUGAUUAGCUUGUUGGCGGGGUAACGGCCCACCAAGGCGACGAUCAGUAGGGGUUCUGAGAGGAAGGCCCCCCCACAUUGGAACUGAGACACGGUCCAAACUCCUACGGGAGGCAGCAGUGAGGAAUAUUGGUCAAUGGACGAGAGUCUGAACCAGCCAAGUAGCGUGCAGGAUGACGGCCCUAUGGGUUGUAAACUGCUUUUAUAAGGGAAUAAAGUGAGUCUCGUGAGACUUUUUGCAUGUACCUUAUGAAUAAGGACCGGCU